AAAAAAAAAAUAAUGAGCCCAGGCACUUUCCAAGAAACAAAGUGCUUUACUUCGCUUCGCCUUGUGCUCGCGUGUUUGCUGAGAGGGCAGAAUUUCAUCCACGGUAACAGAACAUAGAUUUUCCGAUGGGAAACGGGCCACACCGACUGAUGCUAACCGUUUAAAUAACGCGCUCGCGUGCUUGCUUUAAGGCGGUUUUAAUUUUCCUCCCUCACAACCGGACAGAGACACACGAACUCGGUGAAGCCCCGAAGAGUGCCGAUUUACAGCUCACGGCCGCGGGAAGGGCGGGCACGGCUGCGCUCGUGUCCCCUCACGCCGGCCUGCCCCGGCCCGGCGGGGGCGGAGGACGGGGCUCCGCAAGCGCGAUUCCCUCCCCUCAGGGGAGCGGGGCGGCGCCCGGCCGGUCGCAGCCCCCGUCCCGACGCCGGGGGAGACGCGGCUCCUGCCGGCGAGCGCCCGUUUGACCUGACCCCGCGGCCGUCCCUCCGGCGAGGGGCUCAGCCCACCCGCCCCCACGGCAGAAGCCGAGAGGGAGCCCUUCUCCGCCGGCGAGGCGAGGCGGGAGGAGGCCCGGGACGCGACUCACCGGCGUUGAGGACCUUGAGGGCGGUGAAGGCGGCGUUCUGCAGCGCCAGGUCAAAUCCAACCCCGUGAGCUUUACACAUCUGGAGGAGGACACGGUAGUAGAUUACUGAAAGGCUGGAGUGCCUCAGCUGAGCGCUUGCUACCGCACACCGGCUGCGUACUGGAGAAGGCUAGAGAAAACAACACCGCGUUCUUUAUUUUCAUACCGGUUUAUAUCAGAAACCAACGAUUCACUGUUUAAAUGGCAUUUUCUCAGUGAACUCAUGGAAGUGCGCAGCAGGGCUCCGCUCAGAGGUAUGCCUGCUCAUCCUGAUGUCUACUGAACACAGACAUUUCCGUGCAGCAAAAUUAAAGCCUCGUCUCACACCGUCCGUAAAGCCUUAUAUUAUAGACCAGGCCUACAGAAUCACUCUUUAUGAACCACAUUUUUAUAUUUUUCGCAGCUUCAUCGGUAACUGAGCCCUGUGAAAUCAUUCUUGUGGAUCCUCUGAAUCCAUCCUGCCCUGUGGUAACACGUGUUGUUCUAGACUCAGCUCUUCUCAACAGCAGAAAUUCCAAAGCAGAUAAUCUGGGUUUAGCCAAGACCGAGCAUUCUGCUGUAGCAUUAGCGUGCAUGACUUUUCCAGCAAGGCUUUGAGGAGACCAGGCCCGCAACUCCAAGGGGCUCCAAAGCUGGUACCGGUGGAGUUUGUGCCACGGAUAAAAGUCAGUACCUCGUUUGAGCUUAAACUCUUACCAGUGCUUAGGACAAAAGAAUAGAGACGUUGCAUUGAGUAGAACCGAACAGAGACGUUCUCCUGGAGAACCGAGGCUUUCCUGUGAUGUUAUUUUUAACACUGGACUGUUCAUUCAGAGUGGGGAUACUGCUCGCUGAAGCAUAGCCGUAGUAAAUCCUGCACCAAGACUGCUCUGAUGUAACGAAUCAGCAUAACCAGCAAGUCACACGCUAACCACGCUUCUGCGACAGCGCGUAAGGACGUCAAAGCACUGCACAAAUACCAUCUUCUUUAAAAUCGCAUCCCUGGCAGGGACUAUAAUGGACUCCAGAGUUUUCAGAGAGAUGAAAGGCGAGGCCCGCGAGCACAGGUGCCCCAGCGCGCAUCAUUUCGGUGCCUACGCCUGCAGUCCUGAGCGCCUCGGCUUCGUGCGCAGCACCCGCGGAGAGCCGAGCACACGUGCAUUCACAGCCCGUGGCACCGAGCGUGGCCAAAUCUGACCUGGCAAUAGGAAACAGGUUGAGCGGGGCGACUUCGGGGCUCGGCUCUCUUGCUUGGUGUUGAUGGAGGGGCGGCGGCGGCAUGUUCCUGCUCAGGGAACUCGCCUUGGUUCGGGUGCUAUGAGUUUUUCUUCCUGUUCAAAUAACUGUGCCCAUAAUUAAUACUGAACUAUUAAUACUGAACAGUUGGAUGGUUGCAGAACUAAACGAGCCUUCCGAGGACCAACAUCUGGGUUUAGUUCAAGUGAGAGCUGGGAGGGAUUUAGGUGUCCACACCCUUCUGCAGUUGUAGCCCUGAUUGUUUUACGCUCAGUUUUGUGCACGAAAGGACAAAGCUGGGGUAGAACGUCAGUGCUCUAAUUCCUGACCCCAAACCAGAGCUCAUGAGCUGAAGGCUCAGAUUUCUUCUUGACUGCUUCUGAGUUACUCCUGUAGCCAGGGCUGUGCUUUCACCUCCUUCCUUUUUCUUGCAACAUAUAAAUUACCAUAUUUUUUACAACUUGAAAACUACCUGAAAUAUUUAGUAGUUACCACCCCAAACCAGUAUUACUGAGUACAAAGGAUGAAUAAUCGGGUACCCAUAAUCAUCCAGAACCUUUGUUUAAUUUCUAACGUGAUGGUAUCCCAUUUACUUCUUCAUUAACCUUGUAAAAUCUAAAAGUAGCAGUUUAAAAUCUGAAAGGGGUAGAUUCAGCUCCUGUAGAACAGUGGUCUAGGACAGGUUUUAACUUUUUGGUAGUUCAUGUUAAUAAUUCUAUUUGUAAACAAGUCACUGCUUACA
Molecule: non-coding RNA, 2585 nt
Organism: Phalacrocorax carbo (great cormorant)
Lineage: Eukaryota; Metazoa; Chordata; Aves; Suliformes; Phalacrocoracidae
Source: RefSeq, a predicted model, not a curated record